CCUCCCCGGGCUGAAGGGGGGAGCCCGGGAGCCUCUCUCCUGACGUGGCUCUGAAGAGAACCAGCACCCGGCGAGGACUCUGGUUCCAGGCCUGUUUCCGAUUUUUCUAUGGAAGGAUAAGUCCUACGUUUAUCUGCCCCAGUGCUGAGAUGAGGAUUUGAAUUUAAACGGAACUCUUGGGUGGUGGACACGGAAGAUCACUGGGCUGAGAAAUCACUGGGUGACCCUCCAAGGAUGAAGAAGUAACGGGGUUUUCUGAUUUGUAACAGAACAAAAAUUAGACAUGAGCAAUGCUGCUGUUCCUUGAACUGGAUUAUUGUAAAGAUCCAAUAAGGAAAACUGAUUUUUAUGAACCAACCAACAAGCAUUGCAUAAUUUGGAAGUUGUGGCGCCUGAGUGAGCACUUCCAGGGAGAAGCUACUAGAAACUCAGGCUAAUCAGACACCUGCCUGCCUGCAUUCCAGAUGAUGAUCACAAACCAAAGGCAGAGGGAGCACAGGCUUUGCAAAGGAAGUAACCCUUGGUGUAAAAUU
This is a long non-coding RNA of Canis lupus familiaris (dog), 533 nucleotides long. RefSeq lists it as uncharacterized. The record is from RefSeq and is a predicted model, not a curated record. The transcript is spliced from 3 exons. Lineage: Eukaryota; Metazoa; Chordata; Mammalia; Carnivora; Canidae.